GAACGCUGGCGGCAGGCCUAACACAUGCAAGUCGAACGGUAACAGGAAGCAGCUUGCUGCUUUGCUGACGAGUGGCGGACGGGUGAGUAAUGUCUGGGAAACUGCCCGAUGGAGGGGGAUAACUACUGGAAACGGUAGCUAAUACCGCAUAACGUCGCAAGACCAAAGAGGGGGACCUUAGGGCCUCUUGCCAUCGGAUGUGCCCAGAUGGGAUUAGCUAGUAGGUGGGGUAAUGGCUCACCUAGGCGACGAUCCCUAGCUGGUCUGAGAGGAUGACCAGCCACACUGGAACUGAGACACGGUCCAGACUCCUACGGGAGGCAGCAGUGGGGAAUAUUGCACAAUGGGCGCAAGCCUGAUGCAGCCAUGCCGCGUGUAUGAAGAAGGCCUUCGGGUUGUAAAGUACUUUCAGCGGGGAGGAAGGGAGUAAAGUUAAUACCUUUGCUCAUUGACGUUACCCGCAGAAGAAGCACCGGCUAACUCCGUGCCAGCAGCCGCGGUAAUACGGAGGGUGCAAGCGUUAAUCGGAAUUACUGGGCGUAAAGCGCACGCAGGCGGUUUGUUAAGUCAGAUGUGAAAUCCCCGGGCUCAACCUGGGAACUGCAUCUGAUACUGGCAAGCUUGAGUCUCGUAGAGGGGGGUAGAAUUCCAGGUGUAGCGGUGAAAUGCGUAGAGAUCUGGAGGAAUACCGGUGGCGAAGGCGGCCCCCUGGACGAAGACUGACGCUCAGGUGCGAAAGCGUGGGGAGCAAACAGGAUUAAAUACCCCUGGUAGUCCACGCCGUAAACGAUGUCGACUUGGAGGUUGUGCCCUUGAGGCGUGGCUUCCGGAGCUAACGCGUUAAGUCGACCGCCUGGGGAGUACGGCCGCAAGGUUAAAACUCAAAUGAAUUGACGGGGGCCCGCACAAGCGGUGGAGCAUGUGGUUUAAUUCGAUGCAACGCGAAGAACCUUACCUGGUCUUGACAUCCACGGAAGUUUUCAGAGAUGAGAAUGUGCCUUCGGGAACCGUGAGACAGGUGCUGCAUGGCUGUCGUCAGCUCGUGUUGUGAAAUGUUGGGUUAAGUCCCGCAACGAGCGCAACCCUUAUCCUUUGUUGCCAGCGGUCCGGCCGGGAACUCAAAGGAGACUGCCAGUGAUAAACUGGAGGAAGGUGGGGAUGACGUCAAGUCAUCAUGGCCCUUACGACCAGGGCUACACACGUGCUACAAUGGCGCAUACAAAGAGAAGCGACCUCGCGAGAGCAAGCGGACCUCAUAAAGUGCGUCGUAGUCCGGAUUGGAGUCUGCAACUCGACUCCAUGAAGUCGGAAUCGCUAGUAAUCGUGGAUCAGAAUGCCACGGUGAAUACGUUCCCGGGCCUUGUACACACCGCCCGUCACACCAUGGGAGUGGGUUGCAAAAGAAGUAGGUAGCUUAACCUUCGGGAGGGCGCUUACCACUUUGUGAUUCAAA
RNAcentral lists this ribosomal RNA (1453 nucleotides) under uncultured organism. RNAcentral describes it as "SSU rRNA". It matches the Rfam family "Bacterial small subunit ribosomal RNA". The record is from RNAcentral.